Non-coding RNA from Pelobates cultripes (western spadefoot toad), 200 nucleotides. The record is from the annotation of a GenBank genome assembly. NCBI's taxonomy places the organism in Eukaryota, Metazoa, Chordata, Amphibia, Anura, Pelobatidae.
GUCUGUGUUAGUGAACACUUCUCCUUUGCCAAGAUAAUCCAUCCACCUCACAGUCUGCACAUCUUAGAGUGGCCUUUUAUUGUGGCCAGCCUAAGGCACACAUUUGCAAUAGUCAUGCUGUCUAAUCAGCAUCUUGGUAUGCCACACCUGUGAGGUGGAUGGAUUAUCAUGGCAAAGGAGAAGUGCUCACUAACACAGAU